This 218-nucleotide long non-coding RNA is filed under the name Capsicum annuum. Its description in RNAcentral is "long non-coding RNA (CANN_LNC010500)". Lineage: Eukaryota; Viridiplantae; Streptophyta; Magnoliopsida; Solanales; Solanaceae. The record is from RNAcentral.
CCAGCACGUGUAGUAGCAUGAACUAAAGAAAAAUCAUAUAUAUACGCACGGGUGACUCGAACCUCCCAACAUAUACUAAGGUGACUUAAGCACCCGAUCAUGUAAUGUAAUAUGAGAGACUCUAACCUCCAAAUUAUGUAAUAAUAAUAAUAAUAAGGUGGACUUGAACCACCUGGUCAUAAGCAAGGGUACUUAAACCCUCAAGUCAUAUCGACCCC